AGCUCAACAAUACUUGAGAUAACCAACUUACCUGAGGUGUGUUCCGAUUGAUUUCUCAGCGGGAGACAUGACUGGACUACAUGGAAAUUAUUGCCUGCUCCUUAACCAAUCGGAAUCUAGGAUUUGAAUGUAAGGUGCUUAAUCCCGACCUGUCACACCAACUCCCUGCAGAGCGUCCCUCACCUGCUAAUCACAAUGAAUAAGCCAUUCAUAUCAAACACCAUCUAGCUCCCUCCCCACUGUUUCUAAUAGAAAACUCAUUUGGCUGAAAACAAUCUUAUCCAAGGGAGAUAAUCCCGUUCAGCCUGCGCUGACGAUGACUAGUCAAAGCACACCGGGCUAUUUAAUAGCAGUGUAUGCCUGCAUACCAGCCGUUGUACUCACUCUGGUCAUAGUGGUUCUGUAUGUGUUCUGCUCCAAACGUUACCGGCUCAACUGGUAUGAACGUACACUUUUGGAAGAGAGGUGUUCGGACCAGGUGAGUCCACUACUGCGGAGGGACCAAGCAAUUUCAUUCAUGUCUGGGACAGCCAAAGGCAGAGGGAUACGGGCAGGGAGUUUAAAAACCGAAUGGCUCCUAAACGUCCGCAAGAUGGGGAGUAGUCCCAGUUCGCCAACUGCCGAUGCCAGUGAAAAGUUUUGGGUACCACCGACAGUGAUUGAACGGAAACGUGCUCAGAGUCUGGUUCCUUCUCUUUCCCGGAACGAUAGUGAUGAAGAAAUAAGUUCCGGUGUAGUGACACCUGCCUCAAUACCCGGUCUCCGAGAGUUGGCCUUCACCUUUCCGAGUGAGAAGCUGACUGGGCCAAUGAUGGGAUCUGAGGCUGUUCCAUCAACCCCCCCGCCUGCCUAUAACCAACGAAGAAGAGCGUCAAUGCACGACGCCAUCGAUUUCACUAAAAUUGACACAAGGCUUUAUGACAAAAAGCAACUGGUACGUCAGAGUUCGGUGUCAUCACUCCAAGAGGAGCAGCAAGGCUCCAUCAACCUUAGUAUGGAAUACAACAAGGAGACGUCAAUACUCACGGUACACAUGAUACAAGCCAGGGAUCUUGUACCGCGGGAUUUCAGCGGUACGGCGGACCCAUAUUGCAAAGUUUCCUUACUUCCCGAACAAAGGAGUAUAUUACAGAGCAAGAUUCACAGGAAGACAGUGAACCCCGAAUUUGAGGAGGAGUUUGUUUUUGAGGUGUCAUCACAUAAGUUAGCCAUGACAACCCUGGAGGUGCUAUUGUAUGAUUAUGACCAGUUCUCCCGGGAUGAGUGUAUCGGACAAGUGCAUGUGCCCCUGGAGUUGGUAGAUCUCAGUGAAAAGGUUAUAUUGUGGAAGGGGAUCGUACCUUGCGAGAAAAAGGAUCAACAUGCUAUAGGGGAUCUGAUGUUCUCGCUGUGUUAUUUGCCCAGUGCUGAAAGACUUACCAUUGUUGUAACCAAAGCCAGGAAUCUCCGGCACUCAGAGGAAGGGAAGAUAACUCUAGAUCCAUAUGUGAAAGCAACCUUAUCCUUUUCCGGGAAGAAGUUAAAGAAGAAGAAGACCUCAACAAAACACAACACAACAAAUCCUGUUUGGAAUGAAGCUCUGGUGUUUAACCUUGGCAAGGAGUUCCUCAACAAUAUAUGCUUGGAGCUAGCUGUAUACCAUGACAAUAAGAUCGGCAAUGAUGAACUGCUGGGCAAAAGUCAGCUCGGUCCUGCCUCGGAAGGAGAUGAGAUAGCUCACUGGAAGGACCUCAUCAGUGCCAAGAAUGCAGUUGCUAGGUGGCACAACCUCAGCUGACGCCAGGAAGACGACGAGAUGACGGAACUAAACAAAACCAUGUGUCUCAAAUGGUUGUGAAGUGGUGAUGCUGUACCCAACGUCAAGACUUCUUGGGUUUGGGUUUCCACUAUGUCCUCCAUCACCUGUGAAAACAUCUGCAGCUUUGCAGUGAUGAUGCUAAUUCAAACAACAACUUAAGCCAUGAUCUGUUUUUGGUGAGAGCAAAAUCAGCGAGUGCUCUGACCAGUGAAUGUUUUGAUAGAUCACACAAUGGGCAAUAGUUGUCGUGCAACAUGUGACCCAGUCUUGGCACAAUCCAGUGAACUCAUUGUUUCAUAUGGUUUUGUGCCUAGUGGAAUCUGGUUCGGUUGAUGGUCAGGGAGUUUUAUGUUCAGUAUUGGGCAACAGGAGGGAUUGCACUGAGUUUGGCUCAUUUUACUUUCAACUGUUGAACACAGUCUCAUGUCAUCGCUUGACUAAACAUAUAGGUCAUGACUUUGCUGUAUCGUGGCCAGAUGUAUUCAUUGGUUAUGGAGGAACAUAGAGUAUCCAAAGCCACGAAUUAUUGACGAUGUGUUGUACUAUCAGUGGUAUAAGGUCGCAGAUUGGGACAAAAUACAAGCUGUUAUCCUUCCACAAGCGGCUACAGUGCUAUGACUGUGUGAGAACAGUGUUAAUGUUGCAGAGUUAAGACGUUGACGGGCAUAGCACUUGGACUGCUUGUGGAACAGGGCCCUGUGUUUUGUGGGUAUUCUGCAUACCAAGCUCCACACCAACCUUUACUUCAGUGAUUAAAAUUGGGAUGUCAUGUCAUUUCUUGACGGCGAGUCAGUUGGUGUCAUCAAAACUAGUGUUGAUGUCAUCAGUUUUGUUGUAAUGUCAUCAGAUGUCAUGACAUCAUCAAUUCCUGCUGUGAUGUCAUCACCUUGUGCUCUCCUGUCAUCUUUGUCGUCAGAGUGGUUUCAACAUGAAGUUUUCGCUACGUGUCUGAUGAACGAUGUGUUUGUGUGACCUUAACCUUGGAGGAUAAAUGACCUUGACCUCAAUUUCAUGACAUGUGUCAUACAAGAAGAAAUAUGGCAUUUGACAUACUACAAUGAAUGAAUUCAGUGACAGAUGGAUUACAAAAUAUUGACAAUGAUCUCUGAAAAUGACCUUCACAUUUUCUCACGUAACCCAACUCAUGGUACAUACACUCAGUUGAGAUGUCCAUCAUUGAAAUGUGAAUUCUGAGUCGCCAAAGAGACGUUAGAAAUACAUACACUGCACUGACCUUGAUUACAUGACCUUGACCUACUGAUCUCUGAACUUGAUAUGAAAUUACACGGAAGCUGAACUAUUUGAAUGGUAACAUUAUCUACAGCUACUUUGAUUACAAUUAGGACACUUUGGGCUUUCCACCCACAUGAAGCUGACACAACAUAAUAUAACUUGAAUACUAAUCAAAGCAGUGCUAAAACCCAACUCACCCUCACACAAGUAGGAGUUUUACUGUGUUAAUAUUGCCUUUCAUCUGAUCACAUUUCUACCUGGUGCACCUUACGAUGCAUAACACAUGCGCCAUAUCAGUUGGAGCGUAUCUAAGGCAUCAGCCUUUUUAUAUUCAGGACCCUGAGGAGGGUCCUGGGUAUUUUAAAAAAAAAUGUGAUGGUUAUAGCAAAUGCAUUUUUUUGUCUCAGGUUUUACAAAUAACAAACAAUUAUGGACAAACAUGAUGGAUUUUCUGGCAAAAAACAUGCAAAUUUACAAAAAGAUAUUUUCCAAGAACAAAAUUGAAUAUCUUGAAGCAGUAACACCAAAAAUUAUACUGACACUACCUAAAAAUGCCAGCCCAACACCAUUACACACACACUACACACACACCGGAAUAUCUCUCCCUUACCAGAGUUCUCUGUUUUUUGGAUCUAAGAAAUUGUAUUGUUUGAUCAUUUCUUGAAGUAUAUACACCUUGCUUUCAGUGUAUGUACAAUAUCUGUGACACAUUUCCUUGUUAGUGAUCACGGAAAUAAUUAUUUUUUUUGUCAGUUCCUUAACCAUCAAAACAAAACCCUAAAUGACACACUUCCUAUACAUGUGAUAAAACUGCACUAAAUACUAUUAUUACCACCAGAUGUGUUUUCUGUGAUCUGUUAGAUGUGAUCUGUGACAAUGUUGAUGAUAUUACAUCCAGAUGGCAACAGACAGAACGCGUCCAUGUAGGUGUCACUGUGACUCCAUGGAGCCAUGUAGGUGUCACUGUGACUCCAUGGAACUUUCUGAUUUGUAUAGUAAAAACUGUAUAGUGAUGAUGUGAUUGUAUUGCAAUAUGUGUUGAUAGUGGGAAAAUGAUGACUGGUCCUUGAAAGGGAGGUAACUCUGCUCCUGUACAUUCAAAUAAUAAUUUGAAUUACGUAAAUUUGACUCAAGUGGCUAUUUUUUUAAAGAGAUUUUACCACAUAACAUACUUAGUAUUGCUAGUUUGUUUUGUUUAUGAUAACAUUGUAUUUCCUUUUGUACCCUGUUUGUAUUCUCACGGUGUUACAUACUGUGCUUUUCAAUAUUGUUCACUCUCCCAUUUAUAGAAAAUAAGAUUUCUUGGUUUUAUGCUUGGUAUAUGGCUCAAAAGAUCUUUAAAACUGACAUUUUCAAAAAAACAUAAUUGGAAUGACAAGGUGUUGACAAUAAAAAUGACAGUGAAAUGCCACUGUUAAAUUUUAGAUUAAUAAUCUUAUAAGGCUUCAAACCAGGCCAAGAAUUUUUAGGUUUUUUUUCACUGAUCCAAAUCAAACUUUAAGAGGAUUACACAAAUCUCAUUUUUUGGUUUGGUUUGUUGUUUGGUACGCCGCACUCAGCAAUAUUCCAGCUAUAAAUCCAUCUGUAAAUAAUCGAUCUGGACCAGACAAUCCAGUCAUUGAUAUCAUGAGCAUCGAUCCACGCAAACAAAUCUCGUACAAAGCAUUUUAUUAUGUUGUCUUUUUCGACCAUCCAGAUUUUGCAGGGUCAAAAUCUGUAAACAAAAAAACUAUGUCUGUCCCAAUAGAUUUAUCACGCAGUUCAGCAAGAUUGUAUGAAUAUGUAUUGUGAUUGACGAAAUGAAUAACAGUUAAUCUACACAUCAAUAUUUUGUUACAAUUAGGCUAAUUCGUGCUGCAGAUUCUUAGGGAGGAAGGCAAAGGUAAAAUUUACAAAUUCAAAACAUGAUCGAGGGAGUGAUAAAAUAUGUUGAAUACCCAAAGGAAAUGAAAAUUGAAAUACUCAGUGAGAAUGAUUAGAUUAGAGUGAAUGCUCAAUGGCAUAAUAAAUUAUCUGAAUACAUUUUCUGUGCCAUUGUGACCUAAUUUAUGGCCUCAUUUGUGAAGAGACCUUGACAUCAAGAUGCCGUUACAAUACUUGUUUUCACUUCUUGGAUGUUACUUCUUUGGCAAUGAAGACAUCUUUGACUUAUGGAUUUCGACUUCUUUAAUCUUUUAAUGUGAUGUUUUAGUACAGAUGUUGCAAUGGAAGAAUUAAGAAGUGGAAAUCCAUGGCCAACUCUGUCUUCAUUAAUACUGCUGCUUCUAAAAUGUCACUUAAAGAUGUAUUUUUUGCAUUGUACAACAUUAAGCAAUGUAAAAAUGAUCACACAAUCUCAGUUCAGUAUCAGUUUCAACUUUAUAUAUGUAUGAUGUGUCCAAGAAAGUCGAUUGUACGAUUCCAACUAUUGACAUAGAGUUCAAUUUAUUGUCAGAUAUCAAGCAGCAGUUGACAAACUUUGUUCCAAUAUCAUUAAAACUAAUAUAUUGUAGAUACCAGGCAAGUAUAUAUAUAUUCUACAUGGCUGUUUUCUGUAAAUAAUCUGCAAUAUACACAACUGAAUAAGGACUGUAUAUUUACGGUCUUUUAAGGGAGCAGUUGUGAAGAUGACUUCUGAAUUGGUCCAGAUGUUGGUCAAGGUGCACUAAUUGGAACUGGGCACUUAAUAUGGCAAAAACGGUAUGGACUACAAAUCAGUCUGUCACUCUUUUGCAAGAAUAUUUCAUUCUGAAAAAGAUGGCAGCUCCUCAGACAGUUCUAUGUUAAAUUACAAUGGAUCGUAUUAGAAGUUCUGUCACUGAAUCUGAAAAUGGAAAUGCAUGGAGAGUUCUGACAUUUUGAAGAACAUUCAGCUCAACCCGAAUCGAAGACAUAUAAACCAAUAAUUGUGUGGAAUAAAACCUUCUACAGUAAAAUGAAGAUUUCAAAUUUAUUAACACAUGAUGCAUGCCAGCAAUUGCAGAAUUUUGUUGUGAGCCACUUUCUUUGUUAGGUACCAUAAGAAAGGUCUGUUGGUACCAAAGGUCAAUGACCUGGUACAAGGUAGGUUCCUGUUGUCAGAAGAGUACCUCUGCUGCAUUACCGGAAGACUUAUACCACAACGACAUGGGAUGAUUAUUUCUGAUGGGGAGAAAGGAAUCUUAAUAUAAGGGACCUUCCAUUUAAUAUCUAAGGGAGUCUGAUAUUUUUGUUAGAGAUAGGAUUUUUUUUUUUUUGUAACUAGUUUCUGGAAAAGCAGGAGCUUUACACCAAAUGUUUUUUAUGACAUUCAGUAUUUCUAGUGAACAACAUUGUUUUUAGCUAAAACCUGAGGACGAAAUUAUUUUUUUCAAUAAAUUUCUGGAAUAAGUGUUGUUUUUUUUAUCCCAACAUCUGUUUAUAUCUACCCCCUAUCAAAUAUCAAAUGGUCAGUCCCAGGAUAAAUGUGAAGCUUAUGUCUGUGAUUGUCCACAUACAGUGAAACUCAGUGAGUCUCUGAUUGUCCACAUGCAGUGAAACCCAGUAAGUCUGUGAUUGUCCACAUGCAGUGAAACCCAGUAAGUCUGUGAUUGUCCACCUACGGUGAAACCCAGAUGGAUAAUUUACAAAUAUGAUCCACAAAUGUUGUUAUAUUCACAAGGCUUACCUGUGGUUAGCACUUACUCAUUCACAAAUGUACUGUUUUCAAAUUUUUCAAUGUUUAGUAUUGUUUAAGAUAAGCUGCAUUGAUGAACACAUUCAUAGCAAUAAGGUACUGUGAAGUGCUGGCAUAUCUUCAGCAGUUACAGCUGACAUGAGGGUUUUAAAACGAUUUCUAAACAACUCUUUUCAUUUGAUGUUUUAGAUGUUUUAUCAAUAUUGUUUACUUAGAAUUAAAAUAGAAGUAAAAAUAGAUAAAAGAAUAAAUAGUGAUAAUAUCAUAUUUCACUAUUCAUAUCAUAUUUUUCUACCUUUGUCCCUCUAUGUGAUGACACCCGCACUGGUAUAUAGGCAGUGCAAUAUACAUUAUUAUGUACUCAACUAGAUUUGUAUGUUUCAUACCAUUUGUAGGACGAUUGUUUAUACCACCUGUAAAUCCCUUUGUUGUAAUGUAUGAUGAAGUGUAAAUUCCUUUGUUCUAUUGUUUGACAAACUGUAAAUUUCUUUGUUCUGUUGUUUGGCAAGCUCUAAAUUCCUUUGUUCUAUUGUUUGACAAAGGUGUAAAUUCCUUGGUUCAAUUGUUUGAAAAAGGUGUAAACUCCUUUGUUCUAUUGUUUCACAAGCUGCAAAUUCCUUUGUUCUAUUGUUUCACAAGCUGUAAAUUCUUUUGUUCUAUUGUUUGACAAAGGUGUCAAUGCCUUUGUUCUAUUGUUUGACAAGCUGUAAAUUCGUUUGUUCUAUUGUUUGACAAAGGUGUAAAUGCCUUUGUUCUAUUGUUUGACAAGCUGUAAAUUCUUUUGUUCUAUUGUUUGACAAACUGUAAAUUUCUAUCUUCUCUGUAUGAUGAGCUGUUAAUUCCUUUGUUUUGUUGUAUAAGCUGUGACUUCUUUCUUUUAUUGUGUGACAAAUGAAGUCUUGUUGGUUGAUGACAUUUAUAAGUGACCGCUGGUUACAGAUAAAUUAUAUACGCGUUUUAUCAGAGUUUCUUAUAUAUUUUGUCAGUUAUUGUAAAUAGGGAAUAAAAGGUUGUGCAA
RNAcentral lists this unclassified non-coding RNA (7683 nucleotides) under Haliotis rufescens (red abalone). RNAcentral's name for it is "synaptotagmin-5-like, transcript variant X1". The record is from RNAcentral. Lineage: Eukaryota; Metazoa; Mollusca; Gastropoda; Lepetellida; Haliotidae.